UACAGAGGUCUCAAGCGUUGUUCGGAUUCAUUGGGCGUAAAGGGUGUGUAGGUGGCGCGCUAAGUCGGGUGUGAAAUUUCGGAGCUUAACUCCGAAACUGCAUUCGAUACUGGCGUGCUUGAGGACUGGAGAGGAGACUGGAAUUUACGGUGUAGCAGUGAAAUGCGCAGAUAUCGUAAGGAAGACCAGUGGCGAAGGCGGGUCUCUGGACAGUUCCUGACACUGAGACACGAAGGCCAGGGGAGCAAACGGG
RNAcentral lists this ribosomal RNA (253 nucleotides) under uncultured bacterium. RNAcentral's name for it is "partial 16S ribosomal RNA". It matches the Rfam family "Bacterial small subunit ribosomal RNA", at positions 524 to 776 of the family's 1533-position model. The record is from RNAcentral.